Xiphias gladius (swordfish) is the source of this 493-nucleotide long non-coding RNA. RefSeq lists it as uncharacterized. NCBI's taxonomy places the organism in Eukaryota, Metazoa, Chordata, Actinopteri, Istiophoriformes, Xiphiidae. The transcript has 3 exons. The record is from RefSeq and is a predicted model, not a curated record.
UGUAUUGCUAUCUUCGUUAAGACCGAUUUCCGAUUUAAACCAUCGUAGUGAGGACAUUUCUCCAUCGUGAGGACAAUAUUUCGCGGGUCCUCGCUUCUUAAAAGCAGAAGCCAGACCAGAGUAAGGAAAGGAAUAGAGAAAAUCAUGAUGAAAGACAGACAACAGGGUCAACAUCGCACCGGCUCAAAGUUACCCAUCUUGCUGAACUACAAACUGAAGCCUCUGCAUCAGAGAACAGCGGAUGGAGUUUGAACUGUUUAUGUACGAGUUACAUCACAACAUGCAUCCCACCAUCUACUUGUGUACGUGACAGCUGCCUGGACUUUCUGCAUUUAAGGGCCGUGAUUUCAACGUCUUCUGUGUCAGUUUCUUGAAGCUUCCAGGCUGACAGACUGAACCCUAUUCGGCCGAAUAAUAGACUCUGACUCUGUUUGCUGACUGUUGUUGGUUGUUCAUUUUAAUUUGACUCAAUACUCUGUAAUAAAUUCUUUAA